AGCGCAGCUCCCAGUACCACCCGAUUGUCGUGGGAAAAGCUCACAAUCCCCCCAUAAACUCCCUGGGAAUUGCCCAAAUUCCCCCAAAAAACCUCUCAGGUAAAAACUCACCUGCAAGGGCUGCUCCAGGUGGGACCCCUCACGUUUUCCUGCUCUUUUCUCCCCUCACAUUUAUUUCCCUUCUCCCCCUCACGCUUCCCACUCUUUUUUCCCUCACGUUUCCUCUCUUUUUUCCUUUAGACUUCCCAUUAUUUUCCCCCCUCACAUUUCCCGCCCUUUUCCCCCCCUCACAUUUUCCAUAUUUUUCCCCUCACAUUUCCCGCCCUUUUCCCCCCUCACAUUUCCAACCCAUUUUCCCUCAUUUCCCGCCCGUUUUACCUCAUCUUUUUCACCCUUUUCCUUCAUUAUUCCCGCCUUUUUCCCCCUCACGUUUCCCAUUUUCCCCCCUCACAUUCCCACUCAUUUUCCCCCUCACAUUUCCCACCUAUUUUCCCUCAUUUCCUGCCCUUUUCCCCUCACCUUUCUCACUCUUUUCCCUCAUUUUUCCUGCUUUUUUCCCCUCAUAUUUCCCAUUUUUUUCCCCUCACAUUUCCCACCCAUUUCCCCUCACCUUUCUCACUCUUUCCCCUCAUUUUUCCUGCUUUUUUCCCCUCAUAUUUCCAACCCAUUUCCCCUCAUUUCCCACCCGUUUUACCUCACCUUUUCACUCUUUUCCCUCAUUUUUUCCUGCUUUUUUCCCCUCACGUUUCCCACUUUUUCCCCCUCACAUUUCCCACCCAUUUUUCCUCUUUUCCAUAUUUUUCCCCUCACAUUCCCACUCAUUUUCCCCCUCACAUUUCCCACCCAUUUUCCCUCAUUUCCUGCCCUUUUCCCCUCACCUUUCUCACUCUUUUCCCUCAUUUUUCCUGCUUUUUUCCCCUCACGUUUCCCACCUUUUUCCCCCUCACAUUUCCCACCCUUUUUACCUCACCUUUCUCACUCUUUCCCCUCAUUUUUCCUGCUUUUUUCCCCCUCACAUUUCCCAUUUUUUCCCCCUCACAUUCCCACUCAUUUCCCCCCUCACAUUUUCCAUUUCUUCCCCUCACAAAAAUCUCGUGACCCCUUUUCCCUCCUCACAUUUCCCACCCAUUUUUCCUCUUUUCCAUAUUUUUCCCCCUCACAUUUCCCACCCCUUUUACCUCACCUUUUCACUCUUUUCCCUCAUUUUUCCUGCUUUUUUUCCCCUCACAUUUCCCACCCUUUUCCCUCCUCACAUUUCCCACCCAUUUUUCCUCUUUUCCAUAUUUUCCCCCUCACAUUUCCCAUCCUUUUUACCUCACCUUUCUCACCCUUUCCCCUCAUUUCCCCCGCCUUUUCCCCCUCACAUUUCCCAUAUUUUUCCCCCCCCUCACAUUUCCCGCCCUUUUCCCCCCUCCCCUUUUUCCCGCAAACCCCGCGCGGAGCCGAAAGGACCCGAACGCCGCUCCCGGCC
Molecule: long non-coding RNA, 1471 nt
Filed under: Lonchura striata (white-rumped munia)
Lineage: Eukaryota; Metazoa; Chordata; Aves; Passeriformes; Estrildidae
Description: domestica (Bengalese finch) lncRNA (ENSLSDG00000006944.1)
Source: RNAcentral